Molecule: RNA transcript, 2288 nt
Organism: Homo sapiens (human)
Lineage: Eukaryota; Metazoa; Chordata; Mammalia; Primates; Hominidae
Gene: SMIM34
Gene name: small integral membrane protein 34
Exons: 3
Source: RefSeq, marked validated
AGUAGGACUGAUUCUUCCCUAGGAGACGGAGUUCUCCUUUCAUCAUCUUCCCCUUCUGUGCAUGGUAGCCGCUUGAACUUGCCCCUCCAAGAGUCAAGGACAAGACCACCCCAUGGAAUGGGCCAAGUGGACUCCCCAUGAAGCCUCCAACCAGACCCAGGCCAGCACCCUCCUGGGGCUCCUGCUGGGUGACCACACAGAGGGGAGGAAUGACACCAACUCCACCAGGGCUCUGAAGGUGCCAGACGGAACCAGCGCUGCCUGGUAUAUACUCACCAUCAUCGGCAUCUACGCGGUGAUUUUCGUCUUCCGGCUGGCCAGCAACAUCCUCAGAAAGAAUGACAAGUCCUUAGAAGAUGUUUAUUACUCAAAUCUGACCUCUGAACUCAAAAUGACAGGGCUGCAGGGCAAGGUCGCCAAGUGCUCCACCCUGUCUAUCAGCAACAGAGCUGUGCUGCAGCCCUGCCAGGCCCACCUGGGGGCAAAGGGCGGAAGCAGCGGGCCCCAAACCGCAACCCCAGAGACCCCCUGAGAGUCAAGGCCAGGAGGCCUUCCCUAGGGUGGCCCCAGACUUCUUGGAGGGGAGCAGCUUUGGGUUUACUUGGAGCCCUUGAGGGGGACUGGGGGUGCAUCACUGACAAGGGGUGCUUCUGGCUGCUAGUUUGUGACCAGAGCCAGCCACCCAGUUCCUUCUCAGACUUCCAGGUGCUUCGAGAAGAGAGAGCAGGGCAGCGGUUUCUAGCCAAAUUCAAUCUUCACUGGCAAAACCUGUGCUCUGGGGAGGAGCACUAUUCCACUGUUCUCGGAGGAAUCCGGGAGACUCCUGGGGGCAUACAAGGAGGUGACUCCUUGUCGUGGAAAGAAGAAUGAACUUGGAGGUCUUUGUGACCUGUGUCUUGUGAUAUCAAUCCUGCUGGCCUCCUGUCUCACCCUGUGACUAAGAAUGCCUACCCUCCUGGAAUGCAGUCCAGCAAGUCUCAUCCUCAUUUUACACAGCCUUUAAUCAAGAUGGAGUCACUCUGCUUCGAAAACCUCUGACAGAAUUGCUGGAUCCAUUUUGCCACCAUGAAGAAAGCCAACUUGAAGGCAAAAACCCAGCAUCUAGAAGGGAGAAGAACUAGGAAAUUACAGAGACCAGAGCCUGUACCAACUGUACCCAGAGCCUUCAUUUACCACUGGAGUUUUUCAGUUUGUGAACCAAUGAGAUCCUUUUAUUAAGUCUUUUGGAGCUAGGCUUUUGUUCCUCACAACCAAAAAUAUCCUAAAUGAUACCACUGGAUAAAUGAUUUCCCGAAGGAAGUGGGCCUUGGAGUCAAAUUUGAAAAGAGAAGAUGUGUGAUGUGCUGUGUGGGAGGCUGGGAUCAUUUUUUUUCACCAAGAUUUUUAUAUUUAUAGGCUUUUAUAUUUAUAGGGGAAAAACAGAUUCGGUACACUUCUUACUUCAGCUCAAUAAUCAUUUGCAGGACUUCUCAUUGCUUGACCUCUCAAAGAGCACUCAGUGAGACUCUGUACCAUUUAAUCCUCACCCCUGACUGUCAGUAGACUGCCAUGGAAACCCCAAGGAUGCCUGUCCUGUUGGACAUGUGGUCAGAGACUGGCUCCAAAGAUAUCUCCCAAAGAGCAAAAGCCACCAUCUUCCUGUUGGUGCCCAGACACAGGUGCAUGAGCUCCAAGGACUCCUUCCUAGGCCACCUCUCUGCUGCCUGAUCUAAACUCACCUCAUUUCUGGGAGCUGGUCUGAGAGUCUGCCUUGGAGAUGUGUUGGAUGGGAACUAGGGGUUUGUAGGCUCCAUUGUGAGCAAUACUGAUGGGAAAUGACCCCAACUGGUAUGGAUAUUUUGCAUAAAGCCCCUGAAAUCUGACAUGCUCAGGGUCAGAGCCAUGAACCACUGUCUUGACAAACCCCAUGUACAUGGACUAAUAAGGAAGGUGUGGGCACCAUGGCGUUAGUGUUCAACUGGAGAGUGGGAAAGAGAUUUGCAUGUGCCACCAGCCCUGAUAGAGACAGUGACAGAACACACUGAUUCUCAACAUUGCAGACACCUGCUGUCUUUGUCCCUAUGUAGGUUUCCCCCAAUAUUUAGGGGAUCAGGUCAGAUAAAGGCCUUCCUCUGAAAUGGAAAUUAUUUAAAAUCGAUGAGGAAGUCAUCCAGGAAUGACUUCCUCUGGGGAUCUGUGGAUGAUGGUGCUAGGGUUUGUACCAGACCAAAUCAAGGUAACUAGAGCCUCCCCAGGUGAUUGUAACCCAUCUCCUAAAUAAAACUUGCAUCGACUCGGUUGCAUUACAA